GCCUUUGUGUGUUCCUGGCAGAAGGGUGCAACCAGAGCAGCUGAGGCCUGUGCUUGAAGGAGAACUGAUUCACCAGAAACAUCUGCUGCCAUGGCCCUUCUUUCCAAGCAGCUGUGCCUCGUGGGGUGUCCCACAUUCAGGAAUUCAGAUUAGGAAGAGGUAAAGGAAGGUUAAACAGGUUAUUCCAGGUGGAGAAGCAGACUGGACUCACUCCAGCUGGUUCUUACCUCCAGGAAAUGCAUUGUGCAACACAGGAUCCUGCACUCUGGAUGAGACCUCCUGGAUACAAAACAAAAACACCUGGUAGAGCACCACCUUUUCCAGCUGAAUGGUGAGUUGUUCUGCUCAGAAAUGAUAGAAAAGGGCUGCUUUUAU
This 375-nucleotide long non-coding RNA is filed under the name Cyanistes caeruleus (blue tit). RNAcentral's name for it is "lncRNA (ENSCCEG00000020173.1)". The record is from RNAcentral. Lineage: Eukaryota; Metazoa; Chordata; Aves; Passeriformes; Paridae.